UACGUAGGUGGCAAGCGUUGUCCGGAUUUACUGGGCGUAAAGGGCGUGCAGGCGGUCUGUUAAGUGCAGGGUGAAAGCUCCCGGCUCAACUGGGAGAGGUCCUUGCAUACUGGCGGACUUGAGGGGGGUAGAGGAAAGUGGAAUUCCCGGUGUAGUGGUGAUAUGCGUAGAUAUCGGGAGGAACACCUGUGGCGAAGGCGGCUUUCUGGGCCGAUACUGACGCUGAGGCACGAAAGCGUGGGGAGCAAACAGG
RNAcentral lists this ribosomal RNA (253 nucleotides) under uncultured bacterium. Its description in RNAcentral is "partial 16S ribosomal RNA". It matches the Rfam family "Bacterial small subunit ribosomal RNA", at positions 524 to 776 of the family's 1533-position model. The record is from RNAcentral.